This 120-nucleotide ribosomal RNA is filed under the name uncultured bacterium. Its description in RNAcentral is "partial 16S ribosomal RNA". It matches the Rfam family "Bacterial small subunit ribosomal RNA", at positions 30 to 145 of the family's 1533-position model. The record is from RNAcentral.
AUUGAACGCUGGCGGCGUGCCUAACACAUGCAAGUCGAGCGGUAACAGGUGUAGCAAUACAUGCUGACGAGCGGCGGACGGGUGAGUAACGCUUGGGAAUCUGCCUAUUAGUGGGGGAUA